AAAGUAGCCUAUGCAACCGCCAUGGAUUGGUUCAUUGCCGUGUGUUUUGCCUUU
This is a non-coding RNA of Larimichthys crocea (large yellow croaker), 54 nucleotides long. NCBI's taxonomy places the organism in Eukaryota, Metazoa, Chordata, Actinopteri, Sciaenidae. The record is from Rfam.